Molecule: ribosomal RNA, 174 nt
Filed under: Eleutheronema tetradactylum (Indian salmon)
Lineage: Eukaryota; Metazoa; Chordata; Actinopteri; Polynemidae
Description: partial 12S rRNA
Source: RNAcentral
CACCGCGGUUAUACGAGAGGCCCAAGUUGACAGACCACGGCGUAAAGAGUGGUUAGGGAAAUUUCUAAACUAAAGCCGAACGCUUCCUGAGAGCUGUUAUACGCAUAUCGAAGUAUGAAGACCAACAACGAAAGUGGCUUUAACCUUUAACCUGAACCCACGAGAGCUAAGGAA